CAGAAAGUAGUUUAUCUGAAAACACCGGCUUUGGGAGCCGGAGAAGGAGGUUGAAGUCCUUUUUUUCUGA
RNAcentral lists this transfer RNA (70 nucleotides) under Dendroperdix sephaena (crested francolin). RNAcentral describes it as "tRNA-Pro". It matches the Rfam family "tRNA". Rfam says of the family: Transfer RNA (tRNA) molecules are approximately 80 nucleotides in length. The record is from RNAcentral. Lineage: Eukaryota; Metazoa; Chordata; Aves; Galliformes; Phasianidae.